Triticum aestivum (bread wheat) is the source of this 712-nucleotide long non-coding RNA. RefSeq lists it as uncharacterized. The record is from RefSeq and is a predicted model, not a curated record. NCBI's taxonomy places the organism in Eukaryota, Viridiplantae, Streptophyta, Magnoliopsida, Poales, Poaceae. The transcript has 2 exons.
AGUUUGCCCCUCUUGCUUAAAAUACUUGCCAACUAUGAGUACUGCACUGCAGGAUGCAUGAUCAUUGCAUGUGGUCAUAUACGUUUUCUGCGCAAGCUAAGUUGCAUGGUUUAAUCAGUUUGUGUGAAGUGGGAACAAUAUUAAACAUGAUUUCAGUUAUAUGACUACCGAUUGCAUGUGCUCCUGUUCUUUCACUGUGCUUGUACGUUUUUUUGUACUAAGUGGCAUGGUUUAAUCUCUGUUUUUAAGGCGUCCCUAAGGCGUCGCUUAGGCGACGCCUAGGCGUCAGGGCGCCCCCAGGAGGCAAGGCGUCGGCCUUGCCUUACAUGUGUGUCUAAGGCGUCCGCCUAGGCGCCACUCUGCCUGCCUUAGGCAAAUAAGGACGCCUUAGACAGAGCUGGGUGGUUUAGGCGGGAAACAGAUAACUGGGAGGGAAGGAAAGGGCGGGAAACUUUGUUUUGGCGCCAACAGCUUCCCCCUCCUCCCCGGCAGAUCCCCCUCCCCUCCUACAGUUCCUCCUCCUCCUCUCCUGCAGAUUCUCCAUCCUCUCCUGCAGAUUCUCCAUCCUCUCCAGAACCAUAUGGGCUCUACAACCAUCAGUUGCAAGGUGUGUAUGGCUGUAUGCCUAGUUGCCUAAUGCCUACCAAAUUCUACUUAAUUCUGUUGCUUACAAGUCUCUAAGGCGUCGCCUCGCCUUAUGCCUUAGCGCUUA